UACAGAGGUCUCAAGCGUUGUUCGGAUUCAUUGGGCGUAAAGGGUGCGUAGGCGGCGCGGUAAGUCGGGUGUGAAAUCUCGGAGCUUAACUCCGAAACUGCAUUCGAUACUGCCGUGCUUGAGGACUGGAGAGGAGACUGGAAUUCCCGGUGUAGUGGUGAAAUGCGUAGAUAUCGGGAGGAACACCAGUGGCGAAGGCGACUUCCUGGCCUGUUCUUGACGCUGAGGCGCGAAAGCUAGGGGAGCAAACGGG
Molecule: ribosomal RNA, 253 nt
Filed under: uncultured bacterium
Lineage: Bacteria
Description: partial 16S ribosomal RNA
Rfam family: Bacterial small subunit ribosomal RNA
Source: RNAcentral